This 209-nucleotide non-coding RNA is filed under the name Planktothrix tepida PCC 9214. RNAcentral describes it as "Planktothrix sp. PCC 9214 Bacterial small subunit ribosomal RNA". It matches the Rfam family "Bacterial small subunit ribosomal RNA", at positions 503 to 711 of the family's 1533-position model. Lineage: Bacteria; Bacillati; Cyanobacteriota; Cyanophyceae; Oscillatoriales; Microcoleaceae. The record is from Rfam by way of RNAcentral.
CCGUGCCAGCAGCCGCGGUAAUACGGAGGAUGCAAGCGUUAUCCGGAAUGAUUGGGCGUAAAGAGUCCGUAGGUGGCCCUUCAAGUCUGCUGUUAAAGAGCGAGGCUUAACUUCGUAAAAGCAGUGGAAACUGGAGAGCUAGAGUGUAGUAGGGGCAGAGGGAAUUCCUGGUGUAGCGGUGAAAUGCGUAGAGAUCAGGAAGAACACCG